AUUGAACGCUGGCGGCAGGCCUAACACAUGCAAGUCGAACGAGUGGCGGACGGGUGAGUAAUGUCUGGGAAACUGCCCGAUGGAGGGGGAUAACUACUGGAAACGGUAGCUAAUACCGCAUACCAUCGGAUGAGCCCAGAUGGGAUUAGCUAGUAGGUGGGGUAAUGGCUCACCUAUGCGAAGAUCCCUAGCUGGUCUGAGAGGAUGACCAGCCACACUGAAACUUAUACACGGUCCAUACUCCUCCGGAAGGCAUCAGUGGGGAAUAUUGCACAAUGGGCGCAAGCCUGAUGCAGCCAUGCCGCGUGUAUGAAGAAGGCCUUCGGGUUGUAAAGUACUUUCAGCGAGGAGGCGUUACUCGCAGAAGAAGCACCGGCUAACUCCGUGCCAGCAGCCGCGGUAAUAC
Molecule: ribosomal RNA, 406 nt
Filed under: uncultured bacterium
Lineage: Bacteria
Description: partial 16S ribosomal RNA
Rfam family: Bacterial small subunit ribosomal RNA
Source: RNAcentral